UACAGAGGUCCCAAGCGUUGUUCGGAUUUAUUGGGCGUAAAGAGCUCGUAGGCGGUUUGUUGCGUCGGCUGUGAAAUCCCGAGGCUCAACCUCGGGUCUGCAGUCGAUACGAGCAAACUAGAGUGUUGCAGGGGAGACUGGAAUUCCUGGUGUAGCGGUGAAAUGCGCAGAUAUCAGGAGGAACACCGGUGGCGAAGGCGGGUCUCUGGGCAACAACUGACACUGAGGCGCGAAAGCGUGGGGAGCAAACAGG
RNAcentral lists this ribosomal RNA (253 nucleotides) under uncultured bacterium. Its description in RNAcentral is "partial 16S ribosomal RNA". It matches the Rfam family "Bacterial small subunit ribosomal RNA", at positions 524 to 776 of the family's 1533-position model. The record is from RNAcentral.